This 1227-nucleotide ribosomal RNA is filed under the name metagenome. RNAcentral describes it as "bacterial LSU rRNA". It matches the Rfam family "Bacterial large subunit ribosomal RNA", at positions 1705 to 2925 of the family's 2925-position model. The record is from RNAcentral.
CUAAGGAAUUAGGCAAAUUAAGUCCGUAACUUAGGGAAAAGGACUGCCACUGGUUGUGAGGGCGACUAGCUUGUCUGAGCGAUUGGUGGUCGCAGCGAAAUGGCUCUGCCGACUGUUUAACAAAAACACAGGUCUCUGCGAAAGCGAAAGCUGACGUGUAGGGGCUGACGCCUGCCCAGUGCCGGAAGGUUAAGGGGAGAGGUGAUGAGCUUUGAACCGAAGCCCCGGUGAACGGCGGCCGUAACUAUAACGGUCCUAAGGUAGCGAAAUUCCUUGUCGGGUAAGUUCCGACCCGCACGAAAGGCGUAACGAGCAGAGCACUGUCUCAACAAGGGACCCGGCGAAGUUGAAAUAGCGGUGAAGAUGCCGUUUACCCGCAGCAGGACAAAAAGACCCCGUGGAGCUUUACUGUAGCCUGACAUUGAGUUAGGGCUUUGUCUGUGUAGGAUAGGUGGGGGGCUAAGAAGCUGGUCCGCUAGGAUCGGUGGAGUCGACGUUGAAAUACCACCCUGAUGGAGUCUUGGCUCUAACCUGUGGCCCUGAUCGGGCAUGGGGACAGUGUCUGGUAGGCAGUUUGACUGGGGCGGUCGCCUCCUAAAGAGUAACGGAGGCGCCCAAAGGUUCCCUCAGGCUGAAUGGAAACCAGCCGUAGAGCGUAAAGGCAUAAGGGAGCUUGACUGCGAGACAAACAAGUCGAGCAGAGACGAAAGUCGGGCUUAGUGAUCCUACGGUUCCGAGUGGAAGGGCCGUGGCUUAACGGACAAAAGCUACCCCGGGGAUAACAGGCUGAUCUCCUCCAAGAGUUCACAUCGACGAGGAGGUUUGGCACCUCGAUGUCGGCUCGUCGCAUCCUGGGGCUGAAGUAGGUCCCAAGGGUCCGGCUGUUCGCCGGUUAAAGCGGUACGCGAGCUGGGUUCAGACCGUCGUGAGACAGGUCGGUCUCUAUCCGCUGUGGGCGAAGGGGAUUUGAUAGGGGCUGCCCCUAGUACGAGAGGACCGGGGUGGACAGACCGCUGGUGUACCAGUUGUCUCGCCAGAGGCAUUGCUGGGUAGCUAAGUCUGGCAGCGAUAACCGCUGAAAGCAUCUAAGUGGGAAACGCGCCUCAAGAUGAGAUCCCCCACUGUAAAAGGGUAAGUGCACCGGGAGACUACCGGUUAGAUAGGCGGCAGGUGUACGCACUGUGAGGUGUUGAGCCGAACCGUACUAAUGCACGAGGACUUAAUCCA